AUUGAACGCUGGCGGCAUGCUUUACACAUGCAAGUCGAACGGCAGCGCGGGCUUCGGCCUGGCGGCGAGUGGCGAACGGGCGAGUAAUACAUCGGAACGUGCCCAGUAGUGGGGGAUAGCUCGGCGAAAGCCGGAUUAAUACCGCAUACGACCUGAGGGUGAAAGCGGGGGAUCUUCGGACCUCGCGCUAUUGGAGCGGCUGAUGGCAGAUUAGCUAGUUGGUGGGGUAAAGGCCUACCAAGGCGACGAUCUGUAGCUGGUCUGAGAGGACGACCAGCCACACUGGGACUGAGACACGGCCCAGACUCCUACGGGAGGCAGCAGUGGGGAAUUUUGGACAAAGGGCGAAAGCCUGAUCCAGCAAUGCCGCGUGUGUGAUGAAGGCCUUCGGGUUGUAAAGCACUUUUGGCGGGAACGAAAAGGACUGUGCCAAUACCACGGUUCGAUGACGGUACCCGCAGAAUAAGCACCGGCUAACUACGUG
Molecule: ribosomal RNA, 484 nt
Filed under: uncultured bacterium
Lineage: Bacteria
Description: partial 16S ribosomal RNA
Rfam family: Bacterial small subunit ribosomal RNA
Source: RNAcentral